Molecule: long non-coding RNA, 2981 nt
Organism: Orcinus orca (killer whale)
Lineage: Eukaryota; Metazoa; Chordata; Mammalia; Artiodactyla; Delphinidae
Exons: 3
Source: RefSeq, a predicted model, not a curated record
GGAUUUGUCACUUUCUGAGCUUAGAGAUCCUGCCUCUCUCCGCCUCUUGAAGCAUUUCACAAAUAGGAAAUCAGUUCCAGCUGAGCAGUUGGGAGAGCUCUCACGUUUCUGGGAGGAGCUCAGGCUUCCCUCGGUUGGCCUAGUUCCCUGACCCUGUACUCUGCCGGGUGGGGGGGGGGGCCCUCCUUCAGCCCAGUGACCACACCAGGCAGCAGCACUUGGAGCCAGCAGCUGCCCAUUAGCUUCCCAGCUCCCCUGGGCAUGGAGUCUUCUGCCACAGCCCUGCCUUCCCUGUGUUAUUCUUCUCCCAGGUCUGGGGAGAAGCUUUUUCUCUGAGCCGAGUGUUCUUUGUUCUCUCUGAGCUGAGUUCACACAGAAGGAGAAGGGCUGUGGCCAAAGACCAUGUUCGAGACACCAGCCAAGCACCUUUCCACCUCCCCGGAUGGCCUUGGACAACCAACUUCCUCCAUCUUAUGCCAGCCACCGGAAUUCAGCACCCCACAUACGAUUUUGCCAUCACCAUAGACGUUCUCCUCAGAUAUCUUUCUCUUUAAUUACCUUCCAUCUGUCAUACCCUUGAUCCCAUUAUUCCUGCUCUUAAAUAUCACAGACAUCUCCAGAUCUUCAUUUCUUUUAUUUUCACUCUUCCCCCCUCCCAGCUGGGAAAUGGAGGCUGGUCAUCUCAACCACUGUCCUUUAAUUUCCCUGUAUUCUCCUGGACCACAGCAUCCAGUUGAACCUUAGAUAUUAUCAAUUCAAGGAAAAUAAAAGUUAUACAAGAAAUAAAAACUAACUAUAGCAUAUGGCAAGGCUGAGAACAAAAUUUUUGUAAUCAUGAUGAUGUAAGGAUUUGAAAGUUGACUUAACCAAAAAUUGCAAAACAACUAGUAAAGUAGGAGGGUGCCUACAGGAAAAGCUUCCUGUGUUUCCCCUUUACUUUCACACACACCUCUGAUGUCAGAUGUGUGGGGUUUUCCUGCACACCAAGCAAUUCUCUGCAACACCAGUUGGAUGCCCUGUAAUUCAAUUCUUACACUAACCAAAGUUAGUGCAGACCCCACUGGUUAAAGGCUCAGUCCCACGAGACUGUGCCCCACUUCAAAUGCCAGUCGCAAGUAAUAGGUCACCAAGGUACCCACAACUUCUGUCUGACUUGGCUACAAAUCAGAGGUUCCAUGAGCCCUCCUCUCCUUGGAUUUGAUUGUUGGCUAGAACAGUUCACCAAACUCAGAGAAACACUUACUUACGUUUACCAGCUUACGAUUUAAUGAAGGGUAUGAUAAAAGAUACACAUGAACAGUCAGAUGAAGAGAUACACAGGGCAAGGUCUGGGAGGAUCCUGAGUGCAGGAAUUUCUGUCCCCAUGGAGGUGGGGUGUGCCAACCCGGAAUUUUUUUAAAUUUUGGGAUUUUUAUGGGGGCUUCAUCACGUUGGGAUGAUGGAUCAUUAAGUCAGUCUCCAACCCCCUCCCCUUCCUGAAGGAUGGGAGGUGAGAUUGAAAAUCCCAAGCUUCUAAUCAUGGCUUGGUCCUUCUGGUGACCACCCCCACUCCUGAGGCUAUCUGGAGUCCACUCAGAGUCACCUCAUUGGAACAGAAGAUACUCCUGUCACCCAGGAAACUUCAAGGGAUUUAGGAGCUCUGUGUCAGGAAGCAGACAAUGAACUCAGGCAAUGAAACAAGGAUUUCCAUUCCCAGGUUCAGCUACUGAUUCUUCUUGGGAUGACAGACCCUGCCUCCUCCUGGGACAACCUUCCUGGGAUCAGCUUCCAGCCUCCGGGGCCCCCUGUGGAUCCCUCUCCUUCUCCCUACUCCCUCUUCCUCAGCCUCCCCUUCAGUCCGUCAACCCUUUCUAAGAUUCCCCUUUUCACUCCUGUCUCCUCCUCGAGUCCCAUCUCCCAAAUCAAGUAUCACACAUAGAGGCUGGCAGAGGGAAUGAAGGAAUGCUCAGUAUCAGGGGAGGGUGGGGCAAGCCAGAGGACACGGGGCAUCCUCAUCCUCUCCACGGCUACUGCAAAGGAAUGAAGAUCCUGUUGCCAGAUUUUUCCACUUACCUGGAGGUCCUUGGCCUUCUGCUUUGUAUGAAACUCCCUGUUUUAUUUUAUUUUAUUUUAUUUAUUUUUGGCUGCUUUGGGUCUCAGUUGCGGCAUGUGGGAUCUUUUGUUGUGGCACACAGGCUCCUCUCUAGUCGUGGUGUAAGGGCUUCUCUCUAGUUGCAGCGCACGGGCUUAGUUGCCCCAUGGCAUGGGGGAUCUUAGUUCCCCGACCAGGGACGGAACCCACGUCUCCCUCAUUGGAAGGUGGAUUCUUAACCACUGGACCACUAGGGAAGUCCCAACUCCCUGUUUUUAAAUGUUGACAACUAACUCAAAUAUUUGUGAUUAGACCCAGAGACUAAAUCAACCAAAAAACUGGGUUCCCCCGGUCCUUGAAGAAGUUUCCUUCAAACCUUGACAAGAGAUGAGGAAAAUAUUUAUAUCCUAGUCUUCUAGGACAGCUAACUACAGGAGGUGGGAUAAAGUCUUUAAAUUUCCAUAUUAAAUCAGUAAGAUCUUUCAGAACCUACCAAACUCAUCAUCAUCAUCAUCAUCAUUAUAAUUUCAUCUUUGCAUAGUUCUGACCUUUAGAACACUUUAUUCUAGUGCAUUAAAAUCUGGGACUUUUCGUUGAAAACUGGCAGUUUUAAUUCAGUACAAGAAAUACCACGCACCCUUGCAGAUGCUCACUGAACACUCCUCCCCACUCCCCCACUCAAAGCUGUCUCUUUUCCAGGCUCAUCAUCAGCAAAGCCUCCUCUGCCCCGCUCCCUGCCUCACUCCCAGCAUUGUCUGCUGCCAUCACCCGCUCCUUGGGGUUCCCAAAGCACAGAAUGCCCUUGCUAAGCUGCUCCCUCCCUGAAUGAUUUUCCGGCCUCCCCUUCCAAGGCCUCCCCCCACCCCACCCCACGCCUCCCCACCCUGUCCUCACCAGGAACCAGCAGGUG